This 497-nucleotide ribosomal RNA is filed under the name uncultured bacterium. RNAcentral's name for it is "partial 16S ribosomal RNA". It matches the Rfam family "Bacterial small subunit ribosomal RNA", at positions 28 to 507 of the family's 1533-position model. The record is from RNAcentral.
GAUGAACGCUGGCGGCGUGCCUAAUACAUGCAAGUCGAGCGAACAGACGAGGAGCUUGCUCCUCUGACGUUAGCGGCGGACGGGUGAGUAACACGUGGAUAACCUACUUAUAAGACUGGGAUAACUUCGGGAAACCGGAGCUAAUACCGGAUAAUAUAUUGAACCGCAUGGUUCAAUAGUGAAAGACGGUUUUGCUGUCACUUAUAGAUGGAUCCGCGCCGCAUUAGCUAGUUGGUAAGGUAACGGCUUAUCAAGGCAACGAUGCGUAGCCGACCUGAGUGGGGGAUCGGCCACACUGGACCUGGAACACGGUCCAGACUCCUACGGGAGGCAGCAGUAGGGAAUCUUCCGCAAUGGGCGAGAACCUGACGGAGCAACGCCGCGUGAGUGAUGAAGGUCUUCGGAUCGUAAAACUCUGUUAUUAGGUAAGAACAAAUGUGUAAGUAACUAUGCACGGCGUGACGGUACCUAAUCAGAAAGCCACGGCUAACUACGUG